UAGGGAAUAUUGGACAAUGGGGGCAACCCUGAUCCAGCCAUGCCGCGUGAGUGAAGAAGGCCCUCGGGUUGUAAAGCUCUUUUGUCCGGAAAGAAAAGCUUCGGGUUAAUACCCCGGGGUUCUGACGGUACCGGAAGAAUAAGCACCGGCUAACUUCGUGCCAGCAGCCGCGGUAAUACGAAGGGUGCAAGCGUUACUCGGAAUCACUGGGCGUAAAGGGUGCGUAGGCGGAUCUUUAAGUCAGAGGUGAAAGCCUGGAGCUCAACUCCAGAACUGCCUUUGAUACUGAGGAGCUUGAGUUCGGGAGAGGUCAGUGGAACUGCGAGUGUAGUGGUGAAAUGCGUAGAUAUCCGGAGGAACACCAGUGGCGAAAGCGGCCUCCUGGACCACUUCUGACGCUCAGACGCGAAAGCUAGGGUAGCGAACG
Molecule: ribosomal RNA, 427 nt
Filed under: uncultured bacterium
Lineage: Bacteria
Description: bacterial SSU rRNA
Rfam family: Bacterial small subunit ribosomal RNA
Source: RNAcentral